RNAcentral lists this ribosomal RNA (447 nucleotides) under uncultured bacterium. Its description in RNAcentral is "bacterial SSU rRNA". It matches the Rfam family "Bacterial small subunit ribosomal RNA", at positions 355 to 825 of the family's 1533-position model. The record is from RNAcentral.
UCGGGAAUUUUGGGCAAUGGGCGAAAGCCUGAUCCAGCCAUGCCGCGUGAGUGACGAAGGCCUUAGGGUUGUAAAACUCUUUCGUCGGGGACGAUAAUGACGGUACCCGAAGAAGAAGCUCCGGCUAACUUCGUGCCAGCAGCCGCGGUAAUACGAAGGGAGCUAGCGUUGUUCGGAAUCACUGGGCGUAAAGCGCACGUAGGCGGAUAGUUAAGUCAGGGGUGAAAUCCUGGGGCUCAACCCCAGAACUGCCUUUGAUACUGGCUGUCUCGAGGUCGAGAGAGGUUGGUGGAAUUCCUAGUGUAGAGGUGAAAUUCGUAGAUAUUAGGAAGAACACCAGUGGCGAAGGCGGCUCACUGGAUCGGUACUGACGCUGAGGUGCGAAAGCGUGGGGAGCAAACAGGAUUAGAUACCCUCGUAGUCCCUGAGCGGGCUGGCAAGGCGCAU